GCAGUGGAUUAAGCCAUUGGUUGCAAUUCGCAACCUCACCACUAGAUGCCGCUAAAAUUUACACACUGCACCUUUAAGUUUAACGUAACAUCCAAGAGCGCUGAUCUUUGACGGAAUAGUCGCUUCCGAUUGGGAUUCACAGACUGAUUUACGAGCUAGUGAGCUAAUGAGACAGCGCGUCUGUGUUUGUCCGUGUGUGCGUGCAGUUUUUCCAUUCAGAGAUGAGCCUGUUUAAAGGACCUCCAAUCACUAGGUGGCGGAAUGAUAUGAAAGGUGAAGCGGUUACUGUGCCGUUAUCAGUAGAAUAUCGCAUAGCUCUUAGCCAAUCAGAUUCGAGAACCAGAAAGAACUGUUGUAUAAAUUAUAUAUCAAACAUGUUAAAGUGCACAGAAACCAUGCAACAGGAAGAAGCUGUUUUUCUCUUGGUUGAUGCAAGUUAUUUUUGUACAGUAUUGACACACUUUUACUCUUAUGAAUAUUGUACUUGUGAUUUCUAAAAGUUAUUUUUUUGUUUGUUUAUUUUGUGUUACAGGAAACUUCCACCUACAGUAAGCAGAUUUCCCUGCUAAGCACUCCAAGGCUCAUCAUGCUCGGAGAGUCCAAUCUGAGGGCAAAAAAUGGAUGCUUUCCAUCGAGUGCAGAGUUCUCCUCCAAUUGAGUGACGGUUGUGAUUUCACUUCUGCUCUAGCCUUUUUGCGUCAUACUAUGUAUGAGGCAGCCACUACAUUGGGAUUUAUACAGAGGGUAGAGUCCAGCCCAGAAAGUCAACUAGUUCAUGUCCAGAUUUAAAAGAAUAAUAGUUCUGAAAAAAAGGUCUUGGAGAAAAACAAUAUUCAGGUUUGAAAUCCUGCUGUAAAUGUAAAUCAUUUAAUUUUUAUGCAUUUGUAAUUUACCAGAAACAUUUUAAUAAAUAUUGAUUGUUUUGUAU
Misgurnus anguillicaudatus (oriental weatherfish) is the source of this 928-nucleotide non-coding RNA. The record is from RefSeq and is a predicted model, not a curated record. NCBI's taxonomy places the organism in Eukaryota, Metazoa, Chordata, Actinopteri, Cypriniformes, Cobitidae.